CGUUUUUUGAAACCCUGAUCCAGAAAACCAUUCGCGAAGAAUUCAAAACUUGCACGAUGCUGAUUAUUGCUCACAGACUAAAUACCAUCAUAGACUGCGACCAGAUUCUUGUGCUUGAUGCUGGUCAGGUUCAGAGCACAAUACUCCAGAGGAACUGCUAGCUAAUGAAGAAAGUGCAUUCUCUAGAAUGGUUCAAAGCACAGGGCCUGCAAAUGCUGAAUACUUACGUAGCUCAGUUUUUGGAGGUGAGGAGAACAGGUUGAGUGGAGAACAUGCCACACGGUUAGAUGGUCGGAUGAGAUGGCAGGCGUCAUCCCGCUGGGCUGCUGCUGCACAAUUUGCCAUAGCUGUUAGCCUCACUUCAUCACUGAAUGAUCUCCAAAGGUUUGAUGUUGGAGAUACAGGCAAUAUCCUCGAGAAAACCGAAGAUGCAGUUAUAACUCUGCAGGGUGUUUUUGGAGGGAAAGAAAUGAUGAAGUUAUAGAUGAUAUGCUUCAGCAGCACCAAGUUCCCAGAGAUAGAUGGUGGCCUGCUCUUUACAGAAUAAUUGAAGCUCUUGCUGCAAUGAGCAGGUUAGGUCAACAUAACAGGCUUCAACAAUUAGAGUUGGGGUUUGAAGACGGAUCCAUGGAUUGGGACGAGAUUGGAACAUAAUAAAGCCAAUCACUGCAGACAGGAGUUGGGAUCUGCAUCCUCAUCACUGAUAUUAAAUUGCUGAUUUCAUAUCUGCUACUCCCACUUGUAUAACUAAUCAUCAGCACAGCUUAAAUUGUAUUCCAAAUGUGAAGCAAAGUACAUCAAAUUCCUGUGAA
Molecule: long non-coding RNA, 812 nt
Organism: Hibiscus syriacus
Lineage: Eukaryota; Viridiplantae; Streptophyta; Magnoliopsida; Malvales; Malvaceae
Exons: 3
Source: RefSeq, a predicted model, not a curated record